UUCGCAUUCCAAAGAAGAGGUGAAGCACAGCAGCUGCUGUUUGAUUCCGGCAUUCGGAUCCGUGGCACUUACUGAUGACUAUGGCCUUUUCUAAACUUAUUAUUGUUUCAUUGUUCUGUGCCACGCUCAUCCUUCCCGAUGCAAAAGCAUGGUGGAGGAUCCCGAUCAAUAUCGAAAAAUCUAGAAACACAGCCCAACACCGUACCACGUCGAAGUUCAUCCCAGAAACAGAGCGAAUCCUCCGAGAUGUCUCCAAUGAAAAGAACUACGACAAACUCAAAGUUCUCCUACAGAAUCUUCCGAAGAGAGGAUUGACUUUCUUGACCCAUAGGGAUGACAAUGGAUUCAUGGGUCGCGUCGCCAAGGGAAGAAUCAGCAAAUUGAGGAAAAUGGAGAGUGGUAGACCUAGAGGACAUCCAUUGAGAUGGGGUUGAUUCAGUGGUCGGGUGAAAUUUAUUUCAAGUUUGUUCUUCCAUGUUGAUGUGCAAUGGUUGUAAUUUAUGAGUUACCAUCAUGAGUAAAUAGCUCGAAAUUUGAAAUUUGCUACUUUGACAAUGACAAAUAUUAAAUGUACAGACAAUAAAAAUGUACUGAACUUU
Long non-coding RNA from Uloborus diversus, 599 nucleotides. RefSeq lists it as uncharacterized. The transcript has 2 exons. NCBI's taxonomy places the organism in Eukaryota, Metazoa, Arthropoda, Arachnida, Araneae, Uloboridae. The record is from RefSeq and is a predicted model, not a curated record.